GUAUGGUCUCCUUAUUUACCAAUGUUACUUGAGCUUUCUUUGACAAUCAGCCAACUUAUACAGAAAUGACGAAAACCAAGAUUGAGAUUGAUACUGACAGGUUCCUAGUGAGUAUUUGACAUUGAGGCACAAGUUUUUGGAAACAAAUAGAGAAUAUAAAGUCUUUGACCGAGAAGUUUCAUGUUUUGUAAUCAAAUGUUGAUGUUGUUUGAAUAUUAGUUCGGUACGAUAUUUUCUGAGUUGAAAUGUUGGUAGUGUGGAUUUAUUACUUUGUAGUUUUUAUACUAUACCGAUGUAUGUUGGCACUUAUCAUUAUGGUUGAUUAUGCUCAACAUUUUCACUUUGAUAUUGUGUAUUAAAAUUUGACU
Molecule: long non-coding RNA, 368 nt
Organism: Asparagus officinalis (garden asparagus)
Lineage: Eukaryota; Viridiplantae; Streptophyta; Magnoliopsida; Asparagales; Asparagaceae
Exons: 2
Source: RefSeq, a predicted model, not a curated record